GAUAAGGUGGCUGAAAUAAAGGUAAUAAAUUGUAAAUUUAUUUAUGGGGUUAUCCCCUUAUCA
Molecule: transfer RNA, 63 nt
Filed under: Urostylis sp. HL-2012
Lineage: Eukaryota; Metazoa; Arthropoda; Insecta; Hemiptera; Urostylididae
Description: tRNA-Tyr
Source: RNAcentral